Molecule: ribosomal RNA, 253 nt
Filed under: uncultured bacterium
Lineage: Bacteria
Description: partial 16S ribosomal RNA
Rfam family: Bacterial small subunit ribosomal RNA
Source: RNAcentral
UACGUAGGGUGCGAGCGUUAAUCGGAAUUACUGGGCGUAAAGUGUGCGCAGGCGGCCGCGCAAGUCGAGUGUGAAAUCCCCGAGCUUAACUUGGGAAUUGCGCUCGAAACUACGUGGCUGGAGUGUGGCAGAGGAAGGUGGAAUUCCACGUGUAGCGGUGAAAUGCGUAGAUAUGUGGAGGAACACCGAUGGCGAAGGCAGCCUUCUGGGCCAACACUGACGCUCAUGCACGAAAGCAUGGGGAGCAAACAGG